RNAcentral lists this Y RNA (84 nucleotides) under Microcebus murinus (gray mouse lemur). Its description in RNAcentral is "Y RNA (ENSMICG00000023479.3)". It matches the Rfam family "Y RNA". From Rfam's summary of the family: Y RNAs are components of the Ro ribonucleoprotein particle (Ro RNP), in association with Ro60 and La proteins. The Y RNAs and Ro60 and La proteins are well conserved, but the function of the Ro RNP is not known. Lineage: Eukaryota; Metazoa; Chordata; Mammalia; Primates; Cheirogaleidae. The record is from Rfam by way of RNAcentral.
GGCUGGUCCAAGUGCAUGAUCAUAACCAGUUACAGAUUCCUUCGUUCCUUCUCCACACCCACUGCUUCACUUGACCAGCAUUUA